GACGAACGCUGGCGGCGUGCUUAACACAUGCGAGUCGAACGGAAAAGCCCUGCUUUUGUGGGGUGCUCGAGUGGCGAACGGGUGAGUAACACGUGAGUAACCUGCCCUUGACUUUGGGAUAACUUCAGGAAACUGGGGCUAAUACCGGAUAGGAGCUCCUGCUGCAUGGUGGGGGUUGGAAAGUUUCGGCGGUUGGGGAUGGACUCGCGGCUUAUCAGCUUGUUGGUGGGGUAGUGGCUUACCAAGGCUUUGACGGGUAGCCGGCCUGAGAGGGUGACCGGCCACAUUGGGACUGAGAUACGGCCCAGACUCCUACGGGAGGCAGCAGUGGGGAAUAUUGCACAAUGGGCGGAAGCCUGGUGCAGCAACGCCGCGUGCGGGAUGACGGCCUUCGGGUUGUAAACCGCUUUCGCCUGUGACGAAGCGUGAGUGACGGUAAUGGGUAAAGAAGCACCGGCUAACUACGUG
RNAcentral lists this ribosomal RNA (468 nucleotides) under uncultured bacterium. RNAcentral describes it as "partial 16S ribosomal RNA". It matches the Rfam family "Bacterial small subunit ribosomal RNA", at positions 28 to 507 of the family's 1533-position model. The record is from RNAcentral.